UACGUAGGGUGCAAGCGUUGUCCGGAAUUAUUGGGCGUAAAGAGCUCGUAGGCGGUCUGUCGCGUCUGCUGUGAAAACUCGGGGCUUAACCCCGGGCCUGCAGUGGGUACGGGCAGACUAGAGUGCGGUAGGGGAGACUGGAAUUCCUGGUGUAGCGGUGAAAUGCGCAGAUAUCAGGAGGAACACCGGCGGCGAAGGCGGGUCUCUGGGCCGUAACUGACGCUGAGGAGCGAAAGCGUGGGGAGCGAACAGG
RNAcentral lists this ribosomal RNA (253 nucleotides) under uncultured bacterium. RNAcentral's name for it is "partial 16S ribosomal RNA". It matches the Rfam family "Bacterial small subunit ribosomal RNA", at positions 524 to 776 of the family's 1533-position model. The record is from RNAcentral.